UACGGAGGGUGCAAGCGUUAAUCGGAAUUACUGGGCGUAAAGCGCACGCAGGCGGUCUGUCAAGUUGGAUGUGAAAUCCCCGGGCUCAACCCGGGAACUGCAUUAGAAACUGGCAGACUAGAGAGUUGUAGAGGAGGGUGGAAUUCCAGGUGUAGCGGUGAAAUGCGUAGAGAUCUGGAGGAAUACCGGUGGCGAAGGCGGCCUCCUGGACA
Molecule: ribosomal RNA, 212 nt
Filed under: uncultured bacterium
Lineage: Bacteria
Description: partial 16S ribosomal RNA
Rfam family: Bacterial small subunit ribosomal RNA
Source: RNAcentral